Molecule: transfer RNA, 76 nt
Filed under: Chloroflexota bacterium
Lineage: Bacteria; Bacillati; Chloroflexota
Also listed under: 2 other names
Description: Chloroflexi bacterium tRNA-Thr
Rfam family: tRNA
About the family: Transfer RNA (tRNA) molecules are approximately 80 nucleotides in length. Their secondary structure includes four short double-helical elements and three loops (D, anti-codon, and T loops).
Source: RNAcentral
GCCCCAGUGGCGCAGUGGCAGCGCAGCCGAUUUGUAAUCGGCAGGUCGGUGGGUUCGAAUCCCCCCUGGGGCUCCA